Molecule: non-coding RNA, 68 nt
Filed under: Dechloromonas denitrificans
Lineage: Bacteria; Pseudomonadati; Pseudomonadota; Betaproteobacteria; Rhodocyclales; Azonexaceae
Description: SAH sequence
Rfam family: SAH (S-adenosyl-L-homocysteine) riboswitch aptamer
Source: Rfam by way of RNAcentral
CCUGCCGAGGAGCGCUGCGACCCUGCAAUGGGGCCAGGCUCGGCAAUGAUCAACGGCGCUCGCAAACC